AGUGAACGCUGGCGGUAGGCCUAACACAUGCAAGUCGAACGGCAGCACAGUAAGAGCUUGCUCUUACGGGUGGCGAGUGGCGGACGGGUGAGGAAUACAUCGGAAUCUACUUUUUCGUGGGGGAUAACGUAGGGAAACUUACGCUAAUACCGCAUACGACCUACGGGUGAAAGCAGGGGCUCUUCGGACCUUGCGCGAUUGAAUGAGCCGAUGUCGGAUUAGCUAGUUGGCGGGGUAAAGGCCCACCAAGGCGACGAUCCGUAGCUGGUCUGAGAGGAUGAUCAGCCACAUUGGAACUGAGACACGUCCCUGACUCCUACGGUAGGCCGCAGUGGGGAAUCUUGGACAAUGGGCGCAAGCCUGAUCCAGCCAUACCGCGUGGGUGAAGAAGGCCUUCGGGUUGUAAAGCCCUUUUGUUGGGAAAGAAAAGCAGCAGGUUAAUACCCCGCUGUUCUGACGGUACCCAAAGAAUAAGCACCGGCUAACUUCGUG
This 492-nucleotide ribosomal RNA is filed under the name uncultured bacterium. Its description in RNAcentral is "partial 16S ribosomal RNA". It matches the Rfam family "Bacterial small subunit ribosomal RNA", at positions 29 to 507 of the family's 1533-position model. The record is from RNAcentral.